This 572-nucleotide long non-coding RNA is filed under the name Lynx canadensis (Canada lynx). Its description in RNAcentral is "lncRNA (ENSLCNG00005006985.1)". Lineage: Eukaryota; Metazoa; Chordata; Mammalia; Carnivora; Felidae. The record is from RNAcentral.
GAUCUCUGUUCAGGCUGCUUCUUGCUCUUGUCUCAGAAUAAGAAAGGAGUGCUGCUUUCCUGGGGUAUGCUAUUUGAGAAAGAAAGUAACCUAACACUAACUGCAGGCGGGGUCAGAGUGAUGUAACAGGAAGCUCUGAUGUUUCCCUUCUGCUGCUGAGCACAUACAAUGUGACAACACUUCCAAUCCACUCAGAACAACCCUCCCUCUCCAGCAGAGAGUAUCACCUCCUGAUUUAGGAUCAUCAGGCUCUGUUCACUGGACCUGACCCUGCCUGCAGGAUUACAUUGCAAAGCUUUCACUCUUCCCCACCUUGCCUGGGGGUAAAUCUCUUCUGCGGAAUCUCAGAAAAUCAAAUUCCAUCCUAAGAAUAUUUCACCAAGAAUUUCCUUAGAAGCUGUGCUGGGGUUCUACGAUGACACAUCAACCACUUGUGAUGCCACCUGUCAAAUCUUUGGAUGGCCCUACCUUCAGAUUUUGGAAUCACAACUGAAGAUUCAAUGAUCAGUAGAGGAAACAGAAGGUGAGUUGGCAUAUGAGCCUAUCUCUGCUUCCAAAAAGAUGAGCAUGUG